CUUAAGGAAUUGACGGGGCCGCACAAGCGGAGGAGCAUGUGGUUUAAUUCGAUGAUACGCGAGGAACCUUACCUGGGCUCGAACGUAAGAUGACUGUAGGUGAAAGCUUACAUCUCUUCGGAGCAUUUUACGAGGUGCUGCAUGGUUGUCGUCAGCUCGUGCCGUGAGGUGUCGGGUUAAGUCCCAUAACGAGCGCAACCCCUACCUUUAGUUGCCAUCAGGUUAAGCUGGGGACUCUAAAGGAACUGCCUACGCAAGUAGUGAGGAAGGCGGGGAUGACGUCAAAUCAGCACGGCCCUUACGUCCAGGGCUACACACGUGCUACAAUGGCCGAUACAGAGGGCAGCUACCUGGUGACAGGAUGCAAAUCUCCAAAGUCGGUCUCAGUUCGGAUCGGAGUCUGCAACCCGACUCCGUGAAGUUGGAUUCGCUAGUAAUCGCGCAUCAGCCAUGGCGCGGUGAAUACGUUCCCGGGCCUU
Molecule: ribosomal RNA, 479 nt
Filed under: uncultured Sphingobacteriales bacterium
Lineage: Bacteria; Pseudomonadati; Bacteroidota; Sphingobacteriia; Sphingobacteriales
Description: bacterial SSU rRNA
Rfam family: Bacterial small subunit ribosomal RNA
Source: RNAcentral